This 465-nucleotide ribosomal RNA is filed under the name uncultured bacterium. Its description in RNAcentral is "partial 16S ribosomal RNA". It matches the Rfam family "Bacterial small subunit ribosomal RNA", at positions 28 to 507 of the family's 1533-position model. The record is from RNAcentral.
GAUGAACGCUGGCGGCGUGCUUAACACAUGCAAGUCGAACGGAAAGGCUCCUGCUUGCAGGGGUACUCGAGUGGCGAACGGGUGAGUAACACGUGGGUGAUCUGCCCUGCACUUCGGGAUAAGCCUGGGAAACUGGGUCUAAUACCGGAUAGGACCACAUUUUGGAUGGUGUGGUGGAAAGUUUUUCGGUGUGGGAUGAGCUCACGGCCUAUCAGCUUGUUGGUGGGGUAAUGGCCUACCAAGGCGUCGACGGGUAGCCGGCCUGAGAGGGUGUACGGCCACAUUGGGACUGAGAUACGGCCCAGACUCCUACGGGAGGCAGCAGUGGGGAAUAUUGCACAAUGGGCGCAAGCCUGAUGCAGCGACGCCGCGUGGGGGAUGACGGCCUUCGGGUUGUAAACUCCUUUCGCUAGGGACGAAGCGCAAGUGACGGUACCUGGAGAAGAAGCACCGGCUAACUACGUG